This 479-nucleotide ribosomal RNA is filed under the name uncultured bacterium. RNAcentral's name for it is "partial 16S ribosomal RNA". It matches the Rfam family "Bacterial small subunit ribosomal RNA", at positions 28 to 523 of the family's 1533-position model. The record is from RNAcentral.
GACGAACGCUGGCGGCGUGCUUAACACAUGCAAGUCGAACGGUAAGGCCCUUCGGGGUACACGAGUGGCGAACGGGUGAGUAACACGUGGGUGAUCUGCCCUGCACUUCGGGAUAAGCCGGGGAAACUGGGUCUAAUACCGGAUAGGACCACUGCAUGCAUGGGUGGUGGGGGAAAGGUUUGUCGGGUGUGGGAUGGGCCCGCGGCCUAGCAGCUUGUUGGUGGGGUGAUGGGAUACCAAGGCGAUGACGGGUAGCCGGCCGGAGAGGGUGACCGGCCACACUGGGACUGAGAUACGGCCCAGACUCCUACGGGAGGCAGCAGUGGGGAAUAUUGCACAAUGGGCGCAAGCCUGAUGCAGCGACGCCGCGUGAGGGAUGACGGCCUUCGGGUUGUAAACCUCUUUCAGCACCGACGAAGCGCAAGUGACGGUAGGUGCAGAAGAAGGACCGGCCAACUACGUGCCAGCCGCCGCUGUAA